Long non-coding RNA from Pistacia vera, 665 nucleotides. RefSeq lists it as uncharacterized. The record is from RefSeq and is a predicted model, not a curated record. NCBI's taxonomy places the organism in Eukaryota, Viridiplantae, Streptophyta, Magnoliopsida, Sapindales, Anacardiaceae. The transcript has 3 exons.
ACCCAAGGGAUUGAAUAAGAUCGUCUUCAACUGCUACGGGAUGUUAGUGGUGCUUUCAGACCAGGGAUAUUGACGGCACUAGUAGGUGUUAGUGGUGCGGGGAAGACAACUCUGAUGGAUGUCUUGGCAGGAAGGAAGACCGGAGGGUAUAUUGAAGGAAGUAUUAGCAUUUCUGGCUACCCAAAGAACCAAGAAACAUUUGCACGUGUGAGUGGUUACUGUUUAUGAAUCACUCCUAUACUCAGCUUGGCUUCAUGUUCCUUCGGAAAUAGAUACAAAAUCACGAACGAUGUUUGUCAAAGAAGUUAUGGAGUUGGUUGAGCUCAAACCAUUGAGGAAUGCUUUAGUUGGGCUUCCAGGAAUAGAUGGUCUUUCAACAGAACAAAGAAAGAGGUUGACGGUAGCUUUAGAGCUGGCUGCUAACCCCUCUAUCAUCUUCAUGGAUGAGCCAACAUCUGGUCUUGAUGCUAGAGCAGCUACCAUUGUCAUGCGUAUGGUGAGAAAUACAGCGGAUACGGGAAGACCUGUGUAUGCAGUAUACACCAACCUAGCAUCAACAUAUUUGAAGCCUUUGACGAUCUACUAUUGAUGAAACGAGGUGGACAAGUCAUUUAUACAGGACCUCUUGGUCGCCAUUCUCACAAACUCAGAGAAUAGUUUGAGGU